RNAcentral lists this long non-coding RNA (284 nucleotides) under Pan troglodytes (chimpanzee). RNAcentral's name for it is "long non-coding RNA NONPTRT007775". Lineage: Eukaryota; Metazoa; Chordata; Mammalia; Primates; Hominidae. The record is from RNAcentral.
GACUUACAUUUAAAACUAAGAAACAUGAGUUCUGAGUUCUUUGCACUUAUAGUAAUUUCAACUUUGGAAAGCCAUUUAUAUUUUUUAUGAUAAUGUCUAAAGCUAAAAUGAUUUUUCUCCUUCAAAAUACUUCGAAAAUAUGGUAGUUGAUCUUCCAACACCAAUGGGAGGAUCCAGAGCAUGGUUUCCAGGAAACGACUUACACGGUAGGAAUUCUGGCUGUUCCCUAAAGGAUAAUUAAAGUAGUGGUUAGCAGAGAACUGUUGUCACUUAAAAAUGGAAAU